Molecule: ribosomal RNA, 544 nt
Filed under: uncultured bacterium
Lineage: Bacteria
Description: partial 16S ribosomal RNA
Rfam family: Bacterial small subunit ribosomal RNA
Source: RNAcentral
UGGGGAAUAUUGGACAAUGGGGGCAACCCUGAUCCAGCCAUGCCGCGUGUGUGAAGAAGGCCUUUUGGUUGUAAAGCACUUUAAGCAGGGAGGAGAGGCUAAUGGUUAAUACCCAUUAGAUUAGACGUUACCUGCAGAAUAAGCACCGGCUAACUCUGUGCCAGCAGCCGCGGUAAUACAGAGGGUGCGAGCGUUAAUCGGAAUUACUGGGCGUAAAGCGAGUGUAGGUGGCUCAUUAAGUCACAUGUGAAAUCCCCGGGCUUAACCUGGGAACUGCAUGUGAUACUGGUGGUGCUAGAAUAUGUGAGAGGGAAGUAGAAUUCCCAGGUGUAGCGGUGAAAUGCGUAGAGAUCUGGAGGAAUACCGAUGGCGAAGGCAGCUUCCUGGCAUAAUAUUGACACUGAGAUUCGAAAGCGUGGGUAGCAAAACAGGAUUAGAUACCCUGGUAGUCCACGCCGUAAACGAUGUCUACUAGCCGUUGGGGUCCUUGAGACUUUAGUGGCGCAGUUAACGCGAUAAGUAGACCGCCUGGGGGAGUACGGCC